Molecule: transfer RNA, 71 nt
Filed under: Halorubrum hochstenium ATCC 700873
Lineage: Archaea; Methanobacteriati; Methanobacteriota; Halobacteria; Halobacteriales; Haloferacaceae
Description: tRNA-Gly
Rfam family: tRNA
About the family: Transfer RNA (tRNA) molecules are approximately 80 nucleotides in length. Their secondary structure includes four short double-helical elements and three loops (D, anti-codon, and T loops).
Source: RNAcentral
GCGUCUCGCGCGGCCAGCGCGAACCUGAGCCUUCCAAGCUCAUGGCCCGGGUUCAAAUCCCGGCCGGCGCA